AUCUUUCAGGGUCGUAUAUGGAGAGUUUCUGGUACUCUUCCAAUCUGGACUACAGAAAGGAGAGUCAAGCAGAGGCAUACCCAUUCCAUUCCUAGCUUGGGCAGUGGCUAGUGAGUAGAAGGCAAUCUGCUACAAGU
This is a small nucleolar RNA of Tachyglossus aculeatus (Australian echidna), 137 nucleotides long. The record is from RefSeq and is a predicted model, not a curated record. NCBI's taxonomy places the organism in Eukaryota, Metazoa, Chordata, Mammalia, Monotremata, Tachyglossidae.